Molecule: ribosomal RNA, 460 nt
Filed under: uncultured bacterium
Lineage: Bacteria
Description: partial 16S ribosomal RNA
Rfam family: Bacterial small subunit ribosomal RNA
Source: RNAcentral
CCUACGGGAUGCAGCAGUGAGGAAUAUUGGUCAAUGGACGAGAGUCUGAACCAGCCAAGUAGCGUGAAGGAUGACUGCCCUAUGGGUUGUAAACUUCUUUUAUAUGGGAAUAAAAUGUUCCACGUGUGGGAUUUUGUAUGUACCGUAUGAAUAAGGAUCGGCUAACUCCGUGCCAGCAGCCGCGGUAAUACGGAGGAUCCGAGCGUUAUCCGGAUUUAUUGGGUUUAAAGGGAGCGUAGGUGGAUUGUUAAGUCAGUUGUGAAAGUUUGCGGCUCAACCGUAAAAUUGCAGUUGAAACUGGCAGUCUUGAGUACAGUAGAGGUAGGCGGAAUUCGUGGUGUAGCGGUGAAAUGCUUAGAUAUCACGAAGAACUCCGAUUGCGAAGGCAGUUCACUGGACUGCAACUGACACUGAGGCUCGAAAGUGUGGGUAUCAAACAGGAUUAGAUACCCGGGUAGUC